Long non-coding RNA from Rattus norvegicus (Norway rat), 4552 nucleotides. RefSeq lists it as uncharacterized. Lineage: Eukaryota; Metazoa; Chordata; Mammalia; Rodentia; Muridae. The record is from RefSeq and is a predicted model, not a curated record.
GACGUUCUCUAGUUGGGGAGAGGAUUGGACCAGACAAGGUGUUUUCAGAAAUCAGCUUGGUAGACUCUACAUAAAUAGUCUGAAGGUUGUAGCGAUGAACAUCCAAUGAGACAACCAAGUGACAGUUUUUCCUGUUGACCUGCUCCGCCGGUGGGACUUUACCAGGAGAUUCUUCCUGACUGGUACUCUUCCGGCUCCGGAGCAGUAGUCCGGGAUCCCUCAAAAUCCUGGGAGAAGGCGGAGGGCGCGCUGCUUGGGCACUGGCACAGAGCGGUUGUCGUGCUGUCGAGUGAAUUCCAGGCCAGACUGUUUUGAGGCUUACAACAGAGGGCAUGGAGGCCUGAGAAUGGAAAGAAGCCUGAAAUGGCUGGAAGAAAUCUGCAGAAAGCUCACUUGCCACCAGCGUUCCUUAAAGAGUGGAAGACCAUUAGAGUCUACUCGAAAUGGCCUCUCGCCUCCGGGCAUCUGUCUCAGAACUAGAGGAGACUGCUCAUCUUUGCGAAUGAGACUUAUGGAGAAUCUGCUUAGGUGUUCCUGAAAGGCACACACCAGCAUCGAAUGUUUAGAAACAAUAUCAUUCUGUAGCCCUGACUGGCAAUUCUUCUGUCUCAGUCUCCUGGAGUUCUGGAAUUACAGGCGUGCAUCACAAAGUUAAGUAUUUUACGUUUUACAAUCUCAAUUCACGCAGCAAUUUAGAAGUUCAGGGUGCAGUUGAAAAUUAAGCUGAGCCAGACGCGGUGAACAAGCCUUUAAAUCCCUGCAUUCCGGAUUUACCUAGAGAGUUGUCUUUAAAAUCUAAAAGAAAGUUUGACUGAAUAUUACUUAAGUGUUCAAUGUGAAUGAAACCAUUUAAAAAUGUACUUGUAAGAAGAGACAAACGUUUCCUGGUGCGGCUGCGGGGUCAGCCUGUAUGCUGAGUGCGGCGCAGGGCUACUGUGUAACGUCUAAACCGCUUUGUGUGGUGUCUCUUUACUCAUUUUCACCUGCCUGGCGAAUCAGACAAGCUCUGUAAUUCUACUCGGUUUUGGUUCCCAACAGCUUUUUUGUCUUUGGUUUUGUAUCCUGCCCCCCCACCCCCUUCUCUUUAAACGCCACAGAACUGUAACUAUUAAAAGUAAUUCGCCCUUCUCUCUCCCCUUCUCUCCCCUCCUCUCCCCUCCUUUUUUUUUUUUCUUUCGUUUUUGUUUUAUUUUGUUUUUCGAGAAAGCGUUUCUCUGUGUCGUUCUGGCUGUCUGGGAACUCGUUUCAUAGACUAGGCAGGCCUCUUGCUUCUGCCUUCCAAAUUCUGGGAUUAAAAGUAUCCGGUUGCAUUUCUAAUGUAAGUACGGAAAGUUAAAAAAAAAAAAAAGGUUUGGGGAUUUAGCUCAGCGGUAGAGCGCUUGCCUAGCUCCGGAAAAAGAAAAGAAAAAAAAAAAAGCAAGCGCAGAAUAAAACUUACUUUUCCUCUGCUUAAGUUUGUGAAUUAACAAACUGAUCAGGCUUCCACAAACUAGUGUGUCGAAAAACCAUCUUAACCUCUCAUACGCUGUGAGCAGGAUUUGAACCUGCGCGGGAAGAACCCAUUGGAUUUCGAGUCCAACGCCUUAACCACUCGGCCAUCACAGCUCACUCGAGCUGCAUGUAUGUUAUGUCAUUUGUAUAUUAAAAAAAUAAUUUAAAAAAUUCUCUGAAAGCAAAUUACAUACUCUGAAGGCACUGAAUGCUAUAAUCGCAUCAAUGCCAGACACUCCCAACUAUUAGGAAAUUUCCUUUCAGCAAUACACAGAAAGCAAUCACUAAUCAGAUCUCUUCCUCAAGUCUUACUCAACCCUAUCCCUGUAGGCUUUUUAAAGGGAGAACAAUAUUCCAGCAUACCAGAAUCUCUGGUUUUAGUCUUCUUUUCCCCACUUCCGGUUUUCACGGCUUACCGAGUUUUUCUUCAUAGAUGUGGCAGGGAAUCGCGUUUGAGCUAGUUGUGUGUACAACUAUAAUCUUAAAUAAGAUUGCUUUCCCCACACAACUCGAGAAGCACUGCUCUCGAGGGAGACAAUUUGGUAAGUUCUAUCUAUACUCAAAAUUUAUGUGCCUUCUGAGGCAAUAUUUCUACAAAUGUGCAAGAUAUGUUUGCACACAUGAGUGGUUUUGCUGGGGUCAAGAUCAUUCUCUUCUGAAUAUGCAGUGUUGAGGAAAACAUCAGCAAUAUGUGUUUUUAAAAAUAAUUCUCUUGUUAGUGUUAAACAAUUUAAAAUAAUUUAACCUGGUAGAUUUUUGGCAACACACACACACACACACACACACACACACACACACACACACACACACGCAGAUCUAAAUAUGCAUAUUUAAGAGUUGUCUGUGGUUACACACCUGAAAUUCUAGCACUUGAGAGGUGGAGGCAGGAAAAGCUUAAAUUUUAGGCAAUCCUCCAUUACAUAGUAAGUUGGAGGCCAAUAUGGGUUACAUGAGACCCUGUCUCAAAGAAAGAAAAGAGAAAAAUGAUACUAUGAGAUGUGUGUGUGUGUGUCCACACAAGAUAGAUAUCUUUAAUAUGAAAUCAACGUUGAGAUCGAAGUGUUUCGAGUACUACCACAGGAGUAUAUACAUGUAUUUACAUGGGAGAUCAGACUUAUAUAUAUAUAUAUGUAUAUAUAUAUAUAUAUUUUUUUCUUUUUUGGUUUUUUUUUUUUUUUUCCGGGAGCUGGGGACCGAACCCAGGGCCUUGCGCUUCCUAGGCAAGCACUCUAUCACUGAGCUAAAUCCCCAGCCCCUGUAUUUUUAUAAAUAUAAGAGAGCUGGGCACGAUGGCACAUACCUUUAAUCUCAGUACUUGGGAGGCCACAGUAAGCAAAUCUCUGAGUUUGAGGGCAGCCUGGUCUACAUAGAGAGUUCUAGGACAGCCAGUGGUAUAUGCAGAGAAACUGUCUGGGGAAAAAAAAGUCUCAACAAUACAUGAUUAAGGAACAACUGAGACAAGAUGAUUCCUUCAAUGGGUUUGAAAAUUUUGUGGUAUUAAAAUGGUAAAAUGCACCCUGUGUAGUCUAAGACAACUUUCUACUUGAGGCCAGUGCCCUUUUGAGCAUUAAUUAGGAUCUGUUGCAUGGUAUCAUUAUUGAAGAGUUUCUCCUUUAUUAAUCUCUGGGUUCUUGGGGGUGAGUUCUUGCUGGGAGGCGUUGCUCAGCUGUUACAGUGUAAUCAGCUCAGGAUUUCUAUCAGGAUGCCAAAACCGGAAGGCUUGUAUAGCAACAUGGAUUUCCCAGAAUUCUGAGGCUAGAAGUCCAAAAAGGCAUUUCUUCCUAUGCUCUUGUGAGAGCUUUCCUCUGUGUAUACACGGAGGGCAGUCUAUGAUGUCUUUUACUUGGUCUCCUAAGAACACAUGCUGCACUGGAUUACAGCCUCAUUUUGAGAUCCUAUUUGACUUUAAUUACCAUCUAAAACGUCCAUCUCUCAAUGCCAUCGAACUGGAAUGAAUGUGGGCUUCAAAGGAAUGAAUCUCCACGAAGACACAAUCAGCCCCAUAAGAAGACCCUGCAUGUCUUUGGUAAUUUAGUGCCCACAUUGGUCCUAUUACUCUGAGUUGCACUUGUCUCAGUGCUUGCAGGGUUCACUGUGAUGUACCAAGAAUGUACCAGAGCUGUAUGUAUGAGUUUUUCCUCACAACAUCAAUGAAAGGUCCUCUGGUGAAGCUCACCAUUUUCAAGAAGGUCCUAGAUCUGAUAUAAAUCUCAUGUUAGUCUUUAAACCUCCUCAGCCUGUAAGUAUUUUGCUCUACAGAGAUACUUCAUUUCAUUAUGUUGAGUCAUUCUAACUGUAGCUCAUGUAUUAAUCAACUAGGAAUACUUACAACCAUUGCCCUUGAGCUGUAGUGUGUAUGUAUGUAUGUAUGUAUGUAUGUAUCUAUAUGUGUGUAUGUAUGUAUGUGUGUGUAUGUAUGUGUGUAUAUGUGUGUAUGUGUAUGUAUAUGUAUGUGUAUGUAUAUGUGUGUAUGUAUGUGUAUAUGUGUAUGUAUGUAUAUGUAUGUGUGCAUAUGUGUUUAUAUAGUAUGUAUACAUGUAUGUGUAUAUAUGUAUGUGUAUGUAUGUAUACACGUAUGUGUAUAUAUGUAUGCGUGUAUGUAUGUAUGUAUGAUGACUACAAUGACACAAUUCUUCUGGUAUGUAUCACACCUCCUCAAGGUCACACUUUGACUUUACCUUCAAGGGUCAGGGACAUCCUGAGGACAUCCAGAGAGUCUCAAAGGACAGCUCCAGCUGCUACCAGCUAUCAAGAGGAGUCAAAAGCUGGAACCAGAGAAUCAUUUCAGAAGAUGUGGUUCAGGAAGAUCAUAGUUCCCACCUUCCAAUCUUAUUUUAUUACAGAUAAAACUUCCUAAAUUUCAUCGGUGCUCCAACUCAGACAAGCAUCUCUUACCUACUAAAGUUCCCCAUUUUACCUGUCUGUUCUACUACAUCCAUGCCUUGUGGGGUAUGUCUUUGCUUGCUCGCCACUAGAAAAAUCAUGGCUCAGGCUUGUAAAAGAGACAACAGAUGGACAAGAGACAUUUUAUUAGUUGUAUUAAAACAAGAUUUAAAUUGGG